AGUGAUCUCCGAUUGAUUAUUUAUGUACAUCUGGCAAAUUUUCUGGAAUUAAAAAAAAAUUAAAUGUCUUCUGUUUUCAUCCCUCUGACCUUGUCAGAGAACAACACGAUAAGGGUGGAGCUUCUGCCACAAAACAACCAAAGUGUUCUGUCUGGACUGAAGCUCAUUCUAUCCUCAGGCCCAGGUAGAUGGACCUUAGCGCACGGUUCCCAGGAGUGCGUAGUUAAUAGAAGAUCGAUGGCUUAUGCCGACUUUUUAUUCUUUGUAAUUCUGAGAGCCGUGACUAUUAUAAGUAAUGGUUGGAAUGACCUGACAUGCUUUUAUCCCAGCACUACGAGGUAAGAGGGUGACAAGUUCAAAGCCAGCCUGGACUGCACAGUGAAGGACAGAGUAUGUAGUCCAGCACUAGAACUGUCAAGAAAGCCCUUUGUCGGUCCACUCCGCCCCACCUUGGCAGAGAAGAAAACAACCAACUGACUCAAAACACCAAAACACGGACAAAAUACACUCCUCAAAGUCGUAAACUAACCUCAUAUCGGAUCAGGGGGGAAUAACAUGGAAGAUGUCACACUCUUAUUCUUGGUGGGAAGGGUGAGGCCAAGUUCUCUGUGGCUGGGAUAGAAUCUGAAUUUGAAUGGCCUCUCCCUCAGCUUUGCCAGAAUGCACUCUGUUUCCCAGAAUGCACCCUGUUUCCCAGAAUGCACCUUGUUUCCUAAACUCUACAGUUCACUUUCCAGAAUGGAGCUCCACCAUCUUCUAGUCACCUUGACGGCCUCUCCUGAGCAUCCCUGCCCUUAUUCUGUGCUCUAAGUCCCUUCAGAGUGAUGUGAGAGCCUGCGUGCGUGGGCAAGUCAGGUGUGCACUCCUCCCAUGGGCUCUGGGAAAGUGAGGAGCUGCCGGCUUUCGGAUUGCUGUUGGCUGUAGACCAGGGAGACUCUAGGCUGGCUAUGGUCCUGGGUUUCGGGAAUUUGGGGCUGGCUGUGGUCCUGAGUGCAGGGAGACUCUGGGCAGGAGGUGGAGCAUUGAAACCUGGAAUUGAUUCUCUCCUGUGCUUGUGGUUGAGCCUUGUUUUCAGGGUUUUGAUAAUAUCGCAGAGUAUUUCCAGAGUGGAUCCUCUCUAAAGGAAAAGAAAAAGUUAGAGUGUAAAUCUAGGUAGUGAUUCUCUUCAAGCAUGAGGAUCUGAGGCCCUCUCCCACCUCAAACAUCCACGGCUUGCCCUCCUUACAAGGUGGAUGGAGCAAGCAAGCGGUAAGAUGCAAAUCGCAGACUUGCUUCGAUUUCUUGAUAUGGGAUUCAGAUAAACGGCCGCUCACACUCCUUAUAGUCUAAUAAGACCUGGGCACGAUGGAGAAUAUUAAAAUUUUCCGCAAGGUCUACAGGUUUUAAUACAGUUUAAUCAAUGGUUUGUAUAUGACACACACUUAAUUUUUAGGUUAAUCCAAAUUCGCUUUCUUGUGUGCUAUAAGCCAGAUGUUCAGAGACAAGGAAACGUUGAGCUGAUUAUUUCUGUGUGUGUGUGUGUGUGUGUUUGGCUUGGGGCAUAAAAUCAUUUUUCCCUCUUCAUCGGGGGUGUUUUCAAUUACAAUUAUGUUUUCACUGCAAAUACCUUAAAAAAAAUUAGCGGAUAUGUUCGGUUAUUAGUUUAGCUUUCAGCAUACUGGUAUUUACUCAGUUAUCCUGUUCUAUGCUUUUAAGGAACCCAUGCGGAUGACAAGCCCAAUAACAUCAAACGUGUACAGAGUUUCACUUCUUUCUCUCCCUUCCUCAACAUAAAAGCCCAGCAAAGGGUUCACGGUCUCUGCCAACUCCGGGGAGAAGACAUGUGCUGGGCAGAUGGCUGCGUGAUCCUCAGAACCCCCGGGGACCCACCCUGUUACAUGUGCUUGUGGCUGCAAAGACCAAAGGCCCUGGAUGGGUGGACGUCUAUCCAGAGGCCUCUGUGGUCACGGAGCCCUCAGAACUCGUCCUGAACCACAUGGAGUAGCAGCCGCUCUACUGUUAGGGGAUGGUUAUGGGAAGUAGUACUGGGAUGUAGCUACUCUGUGACUUGCGGUGCAGCCGUUGCUCUCUCCAACCUGGGGACCUCCAGAGAAGCAAGCUCAAGCAAGUGGCUCCACUUGCGAAUGCGUUCCACAACCCUGCUGCCUCACUCAUAUUAAUAUUUUUAUAUCUGCGGUUUAUCAAGAUGUUUAUAACUAUG
Molecule: non-coding RNA, 2200 nt
Organism: Rattus norvegicus (Norway rat)
Lineage: Eukaryota; Metazoa; Chordata; Mammalia; Rodentia; Muridae
Source: RefSeq, a predicted model, not a curated record